UAGCGGCGGACGGGUGAGUAACACGUAGGCAACCUGCCUAUAUUUCUGGGAUAACUAUCGGAAACGAUAGCUAAGACCGGAUAAUUGGUUUUCUCGCAUGAGAGAAUCAUGAAACACGGAGCAAUCUGUGGCUUAUAGAUGGGCCUGCGGCGCAUUAGCUAGUUGGUAGGGUAACGGCCUACCAAGGCGACGAUGCGUAGCCGACCUGAGAGGGUGAACGGCCACACUGGGACUGAGACACGGCCCAGACUCCUACGGGAGGCAGCAGUAGGGAAUCUUCCGCAAUGGACGCAAGUCUGACGGAGCAACGCCGCGUGAGUGAUGAAGGUUUUCGGAUCGUAAAGCUCUGUUGCCCUAGACGAACAGCAAGGCGAGUAACUGCGCUUUGUGUGACGGUAUAGGAGAAGAAAGCCCCGGCUAACUACGUGCCAGCAGCCGCGGUAAUACGUAGGGGGCAAGCGUUGUCCGGAAUUAUUGGGCGUAAAGCGCGCGCAGGCGGUUAAUUAAGUUGGGUGUUUAAGCCCGGGGCUCAACCCCGGUUCGCAUCCAAAACUGGUUGACUUGAGUGUAGGAGAGGAAAGUGGAAUUCCACGUGUAGCGGUGAAAUGCGUAGAGAUGUGGAGGAACACCAGUGGCGAAGGCGACUUUCUGGCCUAUAACUGACGCUGAGGCGCGAAAGCGUGGGGAGCAAACAGGAUUAGAUACCCUGGUAGUCCACGCCGUAAACGAUGCAUACUAGGUGUUGGGGAUUCGAUUCCUCGGUGCCGAAGUUAACACAGUAAGUAUGCCGCCUGGGGAG
This 799-nucleotide ribosomal RNA is filed under the name Paenibacillus sp. 12HD2. RNAcentral describes it as "bacterial SSU rRNA". It matches the Rfam family "Bacterial small subunit ribosomal RNA", at positions 93 to 880 of the family's 1533-position model. The record is from RNAcentral. Lineage: Bacteria; Bacillati; Bacillota; Bacilli; Caryophanales; Paenibacillaceae.